Long non-coding RNA from Cyprinus carpio (common carp), 1371 nucleotides. The record is from Ensembl. NCBI's taxonomy places the organism in Eukaryota, Metazoa, Chordata, Actinopteri, Cypriniformes, Cyprinidae.
UGAAUAAACAAGUGUGAAAUUGCAACAACAAAAUAUAUGUUUUUUGAAGAGUGAAAAUCUUGUUCUUAGGAGAGUAUUGUCAGAGAAUGAGGGCCUGUAUUUCUGUGAAGCUCACAAUGAGAGGCAGAAAGUGAUAUCCGAGCCAGCCUACCUCCUGCCUGCAGGUACUUCUUUUUCAGAUGAGCCCACUUUCAUUCCAGGUGGCAGCUGUUCACACAUGUCCUCUAUUUAGCAUAUCCUUUCAUCCCUUCUCACAGUUAUGGAUUGGAUCUUUGUUCUUGAACCUGCCAACCUAGCAGUGAGGAAGGGUGAGUCUGCGACUCUUUCCUGUAGACCUCCUCGCAGCAGACCCCAAGCACAAGUGUCCUGGUUUAAGAACAACAGACUCCUCCAGAAAGGACCGUAUUAUACUUUUGAUCCUAUCGGAGACCUGGUCUUCCACAGGUGUGUUGUGUGGAUUUGUUUGUUUUCUGCAGUUCAUUCUUAUCUAUCCAUUUUUGUACUCUUGUUUUUGCUAAACUGUGAUGUUUAUGUAUAUUUGUGAGCAUGUCCUUAUUAACUCAUAUAAUACUGCAAAUUGAAUCUUGUAAUAUUUAUAUUUUAAUUGUGAAUCUCUGUGUUUCAGUGUACAAGAGACAGACAGUGGAUUCUAUUUCUGCAGAGCAUCUAAUUCCCAUCUCAAAAGGGCUCUCACAUCGAAAAAAAUAUUCCUGGAUGUUCUUGGUCCAUCUGGCCUUAUUAUUUCAGAACCUCCAUCCGUGACUAUCUGGCCGAUGAUGGUAAUGUCUCCUCUUGGAGCUGAAGUGGCGAUUCACUGCCAGGUGUUAGGACACCCUGCCCCUUUCAUCAAGUGGUCAAAGCAGGGCCGGUCUGUCCAAACUGGAGGCAAAAUUAUCAUGAGGUUAAGAAACACAACACUCUACAUUUCAUCAGUGAGAACGUAUGAUGAAGGACAUUACACAUGCGCAGCCUCCAACACACUGGGUCACGAUCAGAAAACCAUGACUCUUCGGGUUGCUGUGAAACCUGUCAUUGUUUCCUUCAUUGCAUCACUCACUGUCUCAGAGGGAUCACCUGUUAGUCUCCCCUGUCGAGCUGUUGGAGAUUUUCCUGUCAAAUACACUUGGAUUAAAACUGCGUCGAUACAAAAUUCACCAGACCAUUCUGGUUCAAACUCUACAGUCUCUCUCCCACAACAGAUACACAUUGAUGGUUUGUUACAUAUUGGACAGAUUGUAGUUUUAUCUUAAGAUGCAGGUUUUCUUUUGUAGGCCAUACUUUAAGUUUUUUUAUUAUUAUUAUUCAUUAAAAAAAAUAUUUUACAGAUAAUGGGACAUUAGUCAUCCCCAACAUCCACCGGUCUGAUGCAGG